AUUGAACGCUGGCGGCAUGCUUUACACAUGCAAGUCGAACGGCAGCGCGGGCUUCGGCCUGGCGGCGAGUGGCGAACGGGCGAGUAAUGCAUCGGAACGUGCCCAGCCGAUGGGGAUAGCCCGGCGAAAGCAGGAUUAAUACCGCAUCCGACCAGAGGGUGAAAGGGGGGGGCCGAAAGGCCACGCGGUAUUGGCUGGGCCGAUGUCGGAUUAGCUAGUUGGUGGGGUAAAGGCUUACCAAGGCGACGAUCCGUAGCUGGUCUGAGAGGACGACCAGCCACACUGGGACUGAGACACGGCCCAGACUCCUACGGGAGGCAGCAGUGGGGAAUUUUGGACAAUGGGGGCAACCCUGAUCCAGCCAUGCCGCGUGCGGGAAGAAGGCCUUCGGGUUGUAAACCGCUUUUGUUCGGGAAGAAAUCCUCUGGGCUAAUACCCCGGGGGGAUGACGGUACCGGAAGAAUAAGCACCGGCUAACUACGUG
This 484-nucleotide ribosomal RNA is filed under the name uncultured bacterium. Its description in RNAcentral is "partial 16S ribosomal RNA". It matches the Rfam family "Bacterial small subunit ribosomal RNA", at positions 28 to 507 of the family's 1533-position model. The record is from RNAcentral.